CUACGGGACGCUGCAGUGAGGAAUAUUGCACAAUGGGGGGAACCCUGAUGCAGCAACGCCGCGUGGAGGAUGACGCAUUUCGGUGUGUAAACUCCUUUUAUAUGUCAAGAAAAUGACGGUAGCAUAUGAAUAAGCACCGGCUAACUCCGUGCCAGCAGCCGCGGUAAUACGGAGGGUGCAAGCGUUACUCGGAAUCACUGGGCGUAAAGGGACGCGUAGGCGGGUUGGAAAGUCAGGUGUGAAAUCCUACAGCUUAACUGUAGAACUGCACUUGAAACUUCUAAUCUAGAGUAUGGGAGGGGGAGAUGGAAUUAGUGGUGUAGGGGUAAAAUCUGUAGAUAUCACUAGGAAUACCUAAAGCGAAGGCGAUCUCCUGGAACAUUACUGACGCUAAGGCGUGAAAGCGUGGGGAGCAAACAGGAUUAGAUACCCUUGUAGUC
RNAcentral lists this ribosomal RNA (440 nucleotides) under uncultured bacterium. RNAcentral's name for it is "partial 16S ribosomal RNA". It matches the Rfam family "Bacterial small subunit ribosomal RNA", at positions 339 to 795 of the family's 1533-position model. The record is from RNAcentral.